UUUUUUUUUUUUUUGUCUUUUUGCCUUUUCUAGGGCUGCUCCCGUGGCAUAUGGAGAUUCCCAGGCUAGGGGUCCAAUCAGAGCUGUAGCUGCCAGCCUACGCCAGAGCCACAGCAACACGGGAUCCGAGCUGCAUCUGCAACCUACACCACAGCUCACGGCAAUGCCGGAUCCUUAACCCACUGAGCAAGGCCAGGGAUCGAACCUGCAACCUCAUGGUUCCUAGUCAGAUUUGUUAACCACUGCACCAAAACGGGAACUCCUCCGUAUUUCUAUUUGAAUGGGUUUAGUAUUGCUGUAGUCUUUCAGCUUUUGUUUGCUGGAGAAAUUCUGUAUUUUCCCUUCUAUUUUAAAUGAUAUUCUUGCUGGAUAGAGUAUUCUAGGUUGCAGAUUUUUUUCCUCUCAGCCCUUGAAAUCUAUCUUGCCACUCUGUUCUGGCCUGUAGGGUUUCUACAGAGAAAAAUAGCUGAUAGCCUUAUGGCUUUGCUUAUCAUUAAUGCUUUGCUUUUCUCUUGCUGCCUUUAGAAUCCUCUCUUGAUCUUUAACUUUUGCCAUUUUUCUUAUGUUUUGGCGUGGGCCUGUUUGAGUUCACCUUGUUUGGGGCCCUCUGUACUUCCUGUAUCUUCAUAUCAGUUUCCUUUAGAUUUGGAAAUUUUUCAGACAUCAUUUCUUCAAACACAUUUUCAAUCCCCCCUUUUUUUCUUCUCCUUCUAGAAUUCCUAUUAUUUGUAGAUUGGCCUGCUUUAUAUUAUCCCACAGAUAUCUUAUAUUGCUUUCAUGUUUUUUCAUUUGGUUUCCUGUCUGCUGUCCUGAUUGGGUGAUUUCCAUUAUUCUGUCUUCCAAGUCACUAAUUUCUCUGCAUCAUUCAUUCUGCUUUUUAGUGCCUUUAGCUCAGUUUGCAUCUCUGCACAUGAAUUUUCUAGUUUUUCAUGGCUCCUUCUUAUAUUUUCUAGUUCCUUUCUAAAGGAAUCUGCAUUACUAUUCAUAUCCUCUCUUAAUUCCUUGAUCAGCAUUAAUUCCUUCAGUAUUUUCACUAUCUCCCUUUUGAACUCAAUGUCUGUCAGACUUCAGAGGUCUGUUUCAUUGUUGACUUCUUUAGGUGAAUUCCUCUUUUCCUUUAACUGGGAUUGGUUUCUGAGCGUCUUCAUCUUGCUUAUGUUUUUCUUUGUCUGUGAGUUUAGGGAAGCCAAACUGUAGUCUUGCAAGGCUACUUCUAUGUAUUCUUUUUUUGUGGGGGGGAGGGUGGCUAUUUUUGGUGUGCGAGUUUGAAUAGUUUCUGUCUCUUUCUUUGGUGUGAGCAGACUGUUAUUUCCAGGACACUCAGUGUGUUUUCAGGGAGAAGGAGGAAGUGGGUAGGGCCAGCAGUCAGUGCCUGGUCAUUGGGUUCAAAACAGCAGCAAGGACCUGCAGGAAUGUGGUACAGGCUACUCAUAGUUGCAGGGUCCGAGUAAGUGGUAAUGAGCUCUAGGCAGAUCUACGAGGAGUCCAGAGCAUUUGGCAGUAGCAGCAGCAGUGUUCAAUUGCAAUGCCCUCCUCUGAGGUGAUUGGAACCACAGGUGAGGUGGUGCUUGUUCAGGGACCCCUAGUGGGAGCGGGCCAUGACUGCCUCUGGAGUCAGAGAUAACUGUGGUGGUUUGCCCCCACCACAUGCAGACCAUACAAGAAGCACCCUGUUCUGCCUAUCCCCCACAGGAGGUGCUGCGCCAGCUGCUCCUAGUUGUAGGGUCUUGGGAAGGGACAGAUGACCAUCUCUGGGUGCUGCCCAGAGCAUUUGGCAAUGGCAGCUGCAGGGCAGGUGUGUUCCCAGGGGAGUGAGAGCAAAAGUGUAUGGUGCUUGGGUGCAGUGCCCUCUUCUUUUUGCCAACCCCUGAGGUGACUGCAGGUGGAGCCCACUCACAUGUCCCCAGUGGUGGCAGGCCAUGCUUCUCUCUGGCCUCUGAGGCAACCGCUGAGGCCUGUCCCUGCUGCCUGUAGAUGGUGCAAGAGGCACCACACAGCACUCAGCCCCCUGAUGCUCUUAGGCCACACAAGAGGUGCCUGACCACUGGCAGCCUGCAGAAGAAGUGCCCAGUCUCCCUUCGAGGAGCAAGAGGCUUCUCACCGCCUGCUGGGAACCUGCACAGAGCCACCUGGUCCUCUGAGCCUGGGGCAUGGGCAGCUCUGGUGCCUGGAGCUUCCUUUGGGUCCACCCAUGCCCCUCCCUUCCCCAGCAAUGGUGCCUGGCCUCUCGUCCUGUGCUGCACAGCUGCUUAGCCCCUCAGGCUGUCCCCACAUGCCAGCCUCAGUCCUCUCCCCAGGACUCCCCUCUGGAGCCAGAGUCUCAGCACCCAGCCCCUGUCUGCGCAUCUCUGGCUGGGGUGUCCCGGCCAGUGGUUCAGAUGCAGCUCUCACUCUGCUUUGCCUUCCUCAGUCCAGCUGCUUGUGAACUCCUUGUUCUUUUGGAUGCAGUGGUGAAUAGGGUUGUUUUCGUUCUUUUCCUGAUGGUUCAGUAUGAAUGUUUAGAAAUGCAGUGCCAGGAGUUCCCAUCGUGUUUCAGCAGAAAUGAAUCUGACUAGCACCCAUGAGGACAAAGGUUUGAUCCCUGGCUUCACUCAGUGGGUUAAGGAUCCCAUGUUGCCAUGAGCUGUGGUGUCAGUCACAGACUCGGCUCGGAUCCUGCAUUGCUGUGGCUCUGGUGUAGGCUGGCAGCUACAGCUCCAAUUAGACCCCUAACUUGGGAACCUCCACAUGCCAAGGAUACUGCCCUAAAAAGACACACACAAAAAAAGGCAAGGCUCACAGAUUUCAGCGAGUGGGGUGGUUUCGAGUGGGGAGAGAGCCCUGGGAGACCUUGAGAUAGGCUUAUCCCCACCUGCAGUGCUUCUCAGUGUACUGAGAGGGAGAGGGUUAAGGAAGUCAUGCUGGCAAAUGCCCCAAGGCCAGUGGGGACAGGGGGUCUGUAUUAGGAAACAGUAGGAAAAGUGGAGCAUUGGUCUCAGAGCACAUGGCCACCAGAUGGUGCCAGACACCAGCAGAGUCCCUCUGCAGCUCCCUGGCUGUGCCUUCAGGCUCAGAGAUGGGGUUGGAGACAGGUGGGUUGAACCUCAUGGAAGUGCCCAGGGCCUUGCACCUGGGUACAUGCAGCCUCUGAUACUCUGGCCCUCUUUGCCUCAACUCAGAGAGGGGACAUAGUUCCCCUUUCACACCUGUGGUUCCAUUCCUGUCUGGUUGGGCAGCCCAGUGCCUAGAGAGUUGGACAGGCUAUCAGGGGGCUCUGAGGGCCCUUUGAUGACUUGGAGGCAGCAUUCUUGGUCCAGAUGUACCUGGCUUGAAUCCUGGAGGUGCAGCUUCCUAGAAUCAGGCUGGCAUGGAAUUUGGCUUCUGGUCAUGAGCACAGUGUGUCCACGUGGUGGUAUUUUGGGGGCAGGCUGUGCUCAUCCCUGUGCCCUUUCUCUCCAGAGAGCUCCACACUCGCCUUCUUCCUUCUCCGUCUGAGCCUCUUCCUCCUCUGUGGCACCCUCGUUAGAAGGAAGCUACCUGAAUCCAGGUCAUGUGGAUACAAGCUGGGUGGUCCUUGAUUUGUCUGGAUCUCAGGUCUGAAGGGUGCUGAUGACUCAAAGCCUGCUCACUUGAUUUAAAAAGAGGGGUUGCUGAUUUCAGGGCAUAGGGUGGUGUCGGGUUGGGUGAGAGGCCCAGCCAACUUUGCAACUGGUAUUCAUUUUGGGGCACUGAGAGGAGCAGGUAACUCACGCUGGCAGGUGCCCAAGGCCAGUGCAGACCAAGGUUCUGCUGUGGGAGGCGGAGGGAACUCUGCACGUCCAGUCUCUGUUGAUCUUGGAGCCUGGGGGUCUAUCACUGUACUUCGCACCUUAUUGGAGUUUCCUUUCCCUUUGGCCAACAGCUCUUCUUUUAGCUCUCAGCCAUGCUUCCUGGCUUGACCUGACUGCAUUAGAGCAGUCCAUGCUAGGAGUAUCCUGCUGAUAGCUGUCUGGUUCCCAGAACAUGAAAGGCAGGUGUCUUGGUUCCCUUCUUGGGGCUCUUCAAGCAGCAUGGUUGGGAGCACAUCUUUUUGGAUGGACUGCAUCCCCUUCAGAUGCUGGGUGAGUGUCUGUGGAAAUCUGGGGGAGAACCUGACCUGAUCGGCCCAGCAGGGACCCCAGGAGCUGCAGGCCCCUCAACCCCUCUGCCAACUUCAGAAUGGCUUCCCCAGGGGAGAUGCUUCACCAGGACGAAAAACACCUUGAGAUAGCUCAGACUUGUGACAGCUUUGGUCACUAGGGGUGACUUGAGCCCGAUGCUAAGGCCACUAUGUCAACUGCCUCUCUUCCCUCUCUUUCUCUCUGAAUUUUUGGUGUCUUUCUCUCACUCUUGUUUCCACUUUCUCCCCAUUUUAUGCUCAGCCCUCUCUCUCUCUCCCUGUCUGUCUUCCUUUUGGUCUCUGUCUCCUCUGUUUUUGUUGCUGGUGGACGGUGGAAAAAGCCUCCUCUUUUUGUGGUCGCCCAGUAGAAGCACUGGAGCAUGGGGGUAGGUGGGGUUGGGGCCGGGAUGUGCAUUACAACCUGGGGAAGUGUGCAAAGUCUGUUCCCAGGGGUGAACCCAGUUUGGCCAUCCCACGUCCUAUCUGAAUGACCAGGACUCAGCUUCCCACUAGGAGCAUCUUUAGACACGGAAAGCCAGGAAGCCCAGGAGAGCCCGAGGGGUUUGAGAAGCCAAGGCAAAGACAGCUGGUCUUUCCCUCUCUUUCUUUGUUGUUUCAGGUGCAACCCUGAUCAUGCAGAACCCAGAGUCCUACAAGGCAGGGAGAGCAGAGCACGACGAUGCGUGGACAAUGGAAAGGUGUGACAACGCAUUCUGGGGAGGGGAAAAGUGUUAACCUUGGGAUUCACUCUCAGAUUUUGGAAUAGAGAAAAUACUCUUGCCACCCAAUUCUGCAGCACCACAUCUUCCUUCUGUGGACAAAGAAAUGUUUCUCUUGGCCUUUGCCGAAAAAUCUGCACGUUCAUGCCUUCUCUCAUGUUUCCUAUCUCUGCCUUCCAUACUUGGGUAUGCCAUUCUUUAUCCUCCCAAGGGAUCCAUUAACACAAAACACACUUGCUUUGCAAUCAAAGUGUACUUUAUUAAAAUUACUUUUACAGUUUUUAUCUGUGUCUCAUUCGGUGUCACUCUACAUGUUUUAAAAAUACCAACUCCAGGCAUGGGAUAUAAAGAAACAUGUCAGAGACAUGAGGAGGGAAAAGGUGAGAUAUGGAUGUUCCAGCAGCCAGGGUCUGGGCAUGCAAGGCUCGGCCAACCAUGUCAUCCUGAAAGAGGGAGCGUGACAGAGUUCCCAUGGUCAAAGGUACAAACCGACAUGAGGCCACAGAAUCCUUGGAAAGAAACUGGCUUGAGGGCAGUUGGUCAGGACUAAAUCCACAGUCCCCUUCUUCAGUCAGGACUGAUGCGGGUGACAGGACAGGGGGUGGACACUAGGGUGACUGCCUGACUCCAGUGCAUUAAGUUCUACCUCUGCUUAAGGGGGCUUUCCUAUACCUGUGUUUAUUUUAUCGAAAACUAGUUUUAAAAAAAGCAAAUGGAUAGGUAACAAUUAUUUAAUACACAAUCUUACAUUCUACCAAAAUCUUAUAUACCAAGUAGUAAACAUG
This 5621-nucleotide long non-coding RNA is filed under the name Sus scrofa (pig). Its description in RNAcentral is "lncRNA (ENSSSCG00000043113.1)". Lineage: Eukaryota; Metazoa; Chordata; Mammalia; Artiodactyla; Suidae. The record is from RNAcentral.